RNAcentral lists this ribosomal RNA (397 nucleotides) under uncultured bacterium. RNAcentral's name for it is "partial 16S ribosomal RNA". It matches the Rfam family "Bacterial small subunit ribosomal RNA", at positions 523 to 918 of the family's 1533-position model. The record is from RNAcentral.
AUACGUAGGGGGCGAGCGUUGUCCGGAAUGAUUGGGCGUAAAGGGCGCGUAGGCGGCCCGGUAAGUCUGGAGUGAAAGUCCUGUUUUUAAGAUGGGAAUUGCUUUGGAUACUGUCGGGCUUGAGUGCAGGAGAGGUAAGUGGAAUUCCCAGUGUAGCGGUGAAAUGCGUAGAGAUUGGGAGGAACACCAGUGGCGAAGGCGACCUACUGGACUGUAACUGACGCUGAGGCGCGAAAGUGUGGGGAGCAAAUAGGAUUAGAUACCCUGGUAGUCCACACUGUAAACGAUGAAUGCUAGGUGUAGGGGGUAUCGACCCCUUCUGUGCCGCAGUCAACACAAUAAGCAUUCCGCCUGGGGAGUACGGCCGCAAGGUUGAAACUCAAAUGAAUUGACGGGG